Molecule: small nucleolar RNA, 130 nt
Organism: Sorex fumeus (smoky shrew)
Lineage: Eukaryota; Metazoa; Chordata; Mammalia; Eulipotyphla; Soricidae
Product: small nucleolar RNA SNORA27
Exons: 1
Source: RefSeq, a predicted model, not a curated record
AUCCCCCUUCUCACUUUGCCAAUUGGACUUAUUUCUUAAUUGGUCAUUCAUGUGGGACAAAGGAAGUGUCCUUUUAAAAAAACUCAAGCAAACUGGGCAUUUGUCUUGCAUCUUGUCAGAGGAAACAACA